AGUGAACGCUGGCGGUAGGCCUAACACAUGCAAGUCGAACGGCAGCACAGUAAGAGCUUGCUCUUACGGGUGGCGAGUGGCGGACGGGUGAGGAAUACAUCGGAAUCUACUUUUUCGUGGGGGAUAACGUAGGGAAACUUACGCUAAUACCGCAUACGACCUACGGGUGAAAGCAGGGGAUCUUCGGACCUUGCGCGAUUGAAUGAGCCGAUGUCGGAUUAGCUCGUUGGCGGGGUAAAGGCCCACCAAGGCGACGAUCCGUAGCUGGUCUGAGAGGAUGAUGAACCACACUGGAACUGCGACAAGGUCCCGAAUCCUACGGGAGGCAGCAGUGGGGAAUAUUGGACAAAGGGGGGAAGCAUGAUCCAGCCGUACCGCGGGGGGGAAGAAGGCCUUCGGGUUGUAAAGCCCUUUUGUUGGGAAAGAAAAGCAGCAGGUUAAUACCCCGCUGUUCUGACGGUACCCAAAGAAGAAGCACCGGCUAACUUCGUG
Molecule: ribosomal RNA, 492 nt
Filed under: uncultured bacterium
Lineage: Bacteria
Description: partial 16S ribosomal RNA
Rfam family: Bacterial small subunit ribosomal RNA
Source: RNAcentral